UACGUAGGGUGCGAGCGUUGUCCGGAUUUACUGGGCGUAAAGAGCUCGUAGGUGGUUUGUCGCGUCGUCUGUGAAAUCCCGGGGCUCAACUCCGGGCGUGCAGGCGAUACGGGCAUAACUUGAGUGCUGUAGGGGAGACUGGAAUUCCUGGUGUAGCGGUGAAAUGCGCAGAUAUCAGGAGGAACACCAAUGGCGAAGGCAGGUCUCUGGGCAGUAACUGACGCUGAGGAGCGAAAGCAUGGGUAGCGAACAGGAUUAGAUACCCUGGUAGUCCAUGCCGUAAACGGUGGGCGCUAGGUGUAGGGGACUUCCACGUCUUCUGUGCCGCAGCUAACGCAUUAAGCGCCCCGCCUGGGGAGUACGGCCGCAAGGCUAAA
RNAcentral lists this ribosomal RNA (377 nucleotides) under uncultured bacterium. RNAcentral describes it as "bacterial SSU rRNA". It matches the Rfam family "Bacterial small subunit ribosomal RNA", at positions 524 to 898 of the family's 1533-position model. The record is from RNAcentral.